RNAcentral lists this ribosomal RNA (253 nucleotides) under uncultured bacterium. RNAcentral's name for it is "partial 16S ribosomal RNA". It matches the Rfam family "Bacterial small subunit ribosomal RNA", at positions 524 to 776 of the family's 1533-position model. The record is from RNAcentral.
UACGUAGGGGGCAAGCGUUGUUCGGAAUUACUGGGCGUAAAGGGCGCGUAGGCGGCCUGGCAAGUCGGGAGUGAAAGCCCGGGGCUCAACCCCGGAGGGUCUCUCGAAACUGCCAAGCUAGAGUGCGGAAGAGGCAACUGGAAUUCCCAGUGUAGCGGUGAAAUGCGUAGAUAUUGGGAAGAACACCGGAGGCGAAGGCGGGUUGCUGGGCCGACACUGACGCUGAGGCGCGAAAGCCAGGGGAGCAAACGGG